AUUGAACGCUGGCGGCAUGCUUUACACAUGCAAGUCGAACGGCAGCGGGGGCUUCGGCCCGCCGGCGAGUGGCGAACGGGUGAGUAAUGCAUCGGAACGUGCCCAGUCGUGGGGGAUAACACAUCGAAAGAUGUGCUAAUACCGCAUACGUCCUGAGGGAGAAAGCGGGGAUCUUCGGACCUCGCGCGAUUGGAGCGGCCGAUGUCGGAUUAGCUAGUUGGUGGGUAAAGACCCACCAAGGCGACGAUCCGUAGCGGGUCUGAGAGGAUGAUCCGCCACACUGGGACUGAGACACGGCCCAGACUCCUACGGGAGGCAGCAGUGAGGAAUAUUGGUCAAUGGACGCAAGUCUGAACCAGCCACGUCGCGUGAAGGAAGACGGCCCUACGGUUGUAAACUUCUUUUAUACGGGAAUAAAGUGCCCCACGCGUGGGUUUUGCAUGUACCGUAUGAAUAAGGAUCGGCUAACUCCGUGCCAGCAGCCGCGGUAAAUCACACUA
RNAcentral lists this ribosomal RNA (500 nucleotides) under uncultured bacterium. Its description in RNAcentral is "bacterial SSU rRNA". It matches the Rfam family "Bacterial small subunit ribosomal RNA", at positions 30 to 532 of the family's 1533-position model. The record is from RNAcentral.